CUUCUCCGUUCUUCCUUUUUUGAUGGAGAAAUCAAAAUUCUCUGUUUCUCACUUCUUCUUCGAAACCCUACAAAUCAAUGUCCUUAGUUCGUUCUCUCUUGUCGAACCAAAAAGCAAAACCCUCUUCGCCUUCGAUUCUCUGAUUCAUCGUCGGUGUAAAGCUUCUACCUUUAUAGAUUUCAUCGUUGGUGUAAAGCUUCUACCUUUAUAGAUUUCCUCUGGUUGAUUUGUUGUUGUGUGAUUCGGUUUGAUGAUCAUAGAAUGCUGAGGCUUGAGACUUGGUGGUGGCGAUCCAGGCUUUGGUUCCUCUUCUUCUGGUUCGUCUUUGGGAACUAAUCUAACCUCUGCUUCGUUCUCAUGAUGGUGCUCUUGCUUCCUCUUUUCCCUUUCAAGUGAUUAGAGAGUAGGAGAAUGUUUAUAAGAGGAGUUUAUAUAUAUAUUGAAGAGAGGAACAGAGGUAUUAUAUUAGCAGCAAAAUUCAGAAACGACCACAGACUGAUGAGUCGCCUCAUCCCUCAGGAUACUUAAAUAUCACAGAUUUCGCGAUUAGGGUUUCUCUGUAGUCGAGUUUACUGAUUUUCCUUAUCAUACGAUGUUGGACACGGGCUUCAGUAAGAGAAGGCCCACCUUCACGGCCCAAUAAGUAUCAAAUGAUAAGUAGCUCGACGUAGGCUCGCCAAGGUGGUUCCGGCCCAUUACCGAGAUGCAGAGAAGAUCAAGGAAGAAGUUGAGAAUGAAGCGGAAGACGGAGUGCAAAGAUCUCGUAGGAAGUUGUAAUAGCUAGAGCUUAUAAAUAAGGGCGGAUUGCCUAACUUGUAAUUCAUUCAUUCUCUUGUAAGCAAAACAUCUAUAAAGUUAUA
Long non-coding RNA from Capsella rubella, 860 nucleotides. RefSeq lists it as uncharacterized. Lineage: Eukaryota; Viridiplantae; Streptophyta; Magnoliopsida; Brassicales; Brassicaceae. The record is from RefSeq and is a predicted model, not a curated record. The transcript has 4 exons.